GCCAGGCGUGGUGUCACAUGUCUGUAGUCCCAACUACUCAGGAGGCUGAGGUGGGAGGAUCGUUUUGAGUCCAGGAGUUCUGGGCUGUAGUGUGCUAUGCCUGUGGGUGUCCACACUAAGUUUGGCAUCAAUAUGGUGACCUCCUAGGAGCAGGGGACCACCAGGUUGCCUAAGAAGGGGUGAACCGACCCAGGUUGGAAACAGGGCAGGUCAAAAUCCCGGUGCUGAUGAGUAGCAGGAUCUAGCCUGUGAACAGCUACUGCGCUCCAGCCUGGGCAAUAUAGUGAGACCCAUCUCUA
This is a non-coding RNA of Nomascus leucogenys (northern white-cheeked gibbon), 299 nucleotides long. It matches the Rfam family "Metazoan signal recognition particle RNA". From Rfam's summary of the family: The signal recognition particle (SRP) is a universally conserved ribonucleoprotein. It is involved in the co-translational targeting of proteins to membranes. The record is from Rfam. Lineage: Eukaryota; Metazoa; Chordata; Mammalia; Primates; Hylobatidae.